UAGGAGCUAAGUUGUUGACGGUUUGCAGUAAAAGCUCGGCAUUCUUAUAAUUUCCGGGAGGAACCGUCAAAAUUUCUUGGUGCACAACGUAAUUGACGCUAUCAAUAAAGUCUUCUUCUUUUUUAACCCGAAAUUCGCGGACAAUAUCCAGUUGAAUUUUUUGCUCGGUAGGUAGAGUAUAGAAAGAAUUUAAAUACUGCAGUUCCACCAGGGCCAUUUCCCAUUUGCCCUUCAAGGUAAUGGGAUGCUUCAGUUUGGUAGUCCAGUUGGAGGGCGUGUUGGCCGCUUCUGUGGCGACAUCACUGGGUAAGGUUAUGUAGAAAGGCGCUCCUUCAAAUAUGAUAGUGGUUCCCAAGAAUCGUGUUCGGGUCCGUAACCUAACCAACGGACUAAUGCUUUCUUUCCGCGCCGCUUAACAAUAAAAUCAAUUGCGUGUUCCUUAUGCUGUGGAUUCGAGACUGGUGACAGUUCAUGCUCAUAAAACGUUCCUUUAAUAACUUCAUCUUGGUAAUCCUUCAAACGAUAGACCGGAAUACGAUGCGGGAUCACCUGAUGGAUGUAGAAGAUUUCUUCUUUGAAACGGUAAGUAUACCCUUUUUCCACCUUUGUUUUAUGCACCGCAAUCCGCACGGCAUCACCGACUUUGUACCGUGGCUUCUUGACGUCUUUGUGCUUGUACAAAGCAUUGUACACUGCCAACGAAUUGUCUUGCCGUACAUCACUGGGUCGCAUACCAUGCGCACGGUGUUUGGAAUGGUUGUACGAGUACACCAGGUCUUGCAUUUUGUCAAUAUAGCGCGUCGAUAAGCGGGACCGAAACAAUCGAAAUAUCCGCGUUUUGAUGGUUCGAAUAACGCGCUCCGCCAUGGAACACUUGAUGUCUUCGUUCUCGGAAGUGAAGAACUGAAUUUGUUUGUCUUUCAAGUACUUGGCCACCGUUCUAUUCAACAUCUCAGUCCCUUUAUCAUAUUGCAGUUUUUCCGGCUCUCCCAAAUCAUUGAACGCAUUGGUUAGCGCUUCCUUGGUAUCAGCACCCGUUUUGGUUUUCAGAGGUUGAAUACUGAGUUUCUUGGAAAAACAAUCAAUAACAAACAGCAAAUAUUUGUAUCCAUCGUUUUCCUUCGAAUACUUGGCUAGAUCGGCCAGAUCCGCUUGAUACUGUUGGCGGAGGUUAGUUGUUAUUAUGCGGUUGCGCGGGAAGCGUUUGCGUGAUUCUUUGUUGACAGUGUAGGCAUCGAUCUCCUGCAAGAUCGCCUGUGCUUUCCGUUUGUCGGCUCUGGUCUUUAAACUUUUUCGGAACCUGUCGACGCCGCCAAGACUUCCGGGAUCGCGAGGGUUCAGAUAUUUUUUCAUCAGUUUCUCCAUUAUUGCAACAACUGGAUACGCAAUUGAUCUUAAAUAUCCGACACAGUCGCAAUACAGUAGGAAGAAAGCUGGACAUUAUGGUAAGGUUAUCCACUGAAUCCUAUGUUGACCACUACCACUUUGAACAGUUCGGGAACGCAGUUUCCGACCGGUAUCUUCGUUGGCACUUUCCGUUUUCCUUUUUCCAAUGGAUAAUGGAAACAAGGGUACACGGCGUUGUUUACGGCUAUUUGGAUGAUCGUCCGCGGUUUUACGCUUUCGUCCUUUUGCUGGCAGUGUUGGUGGAAACAAGGCAACACGACCAUGUUUUAUUGGACCAUCUCGAUCGUCUUCCAGAUACCUUUUUUGCCCUUUGGUUGGCAACGUCGAUGGAAAUAAUUGUGGGCGCGGUUGCUUUGGCACUUGUUCUAUUUCAUCUUCGUCAGUUCUUUUGCGUUUGCGAAACUUUUCCAGCUCUUGUUGUACUCCUAAUGGUGCCGGUUGCAACACGGUUUCAUCGGAGAAUUGCACAGGGUUUUCGUCAGGUAAGACUUUUUGUUUCAAUGCUAAGAAACGCUCCAAAAUGCUUGUUAGCAGGUCGGCUUUCUCAUACUCGUUUAUAUCGGUUCGUCUUAAGGUUUUGGCAACAAGUUCGUCCAAAGAAACAACAGCUCUGGCUUCCGGAGGUUCUUUGUUAACUUGUAUUUUCUCAUGCAGGCGCUCUUCCAUAAUGCGUCUAGGAACAAUAUAGUACUCAUCCAUUUCCAAUCAACGAUGUUAGGACCCCAGCAAUAACCGGGUGAUGAUAAAGGGUGCUAACGAUUUUACGCGUUCCGACAUUUUGGCAGUUGUGACGAAUUUCGAUCCAAAUAAAUCCUCAUGUGCUCGUUGGGAAAGAUAUGGGAGCGAAUACGUAAGUAUUCUGGGCACGUUGGUCGCAAGUCCAAAAUUAAAGUAUUCGCUGCUAUAAUCAUUACGGAAGGAAUAGGAAAAGUCCUACAAAGUGAUUCCUGGAAUCAGACAUUACGUAAUAUGACGCUAUAACUCACAUCCUGCGUUCCGUCUCUUCGACAAAGACCGCAGAUCCCGGAAUACCAUGUGGAGGGUACCCGAUGUCCGCAAUAACGACCAUUCCGUAUUUCGGGAGUUCUUCGACACGAAAAAGGGUGGAUCUACGGUGCUUAAAUACUUGCAAAUAGUGGGAAGCACUGCUGGCCUUUGAUAGCAAUGGCACCCUGGGCGUUUUGGAAUCCAAACUUUACAGAGCCUGGUUUUCACACAUUAAAACGUUUUGUAUCCAGAAACUGGAAUUGUAGUGUUUGCAAUUUCUUUUGUCACAUGU
Molecule: long non-coding RNA, 2686 nt
Organism: Paramacrobiotus metropolitanus
Lineage: Eukaryota; Metazoa; Tardigrada; Eutardigrada; Parachela; Macrobiotidae
Exons: 4
Source: RefSeq, a predicted model, not a curated record